This 459-nucleotide ribosomal RNA is filed under the name uncultured bacterium. RNAcentral's name for it is "partial 16S ribosomal RNA". It matches the Rfam family "Bacterial small subunit ribosomal RNA", at positions 338 to 795 of the family's 1533-position model. The record is from RNAcentral.
CCUACGGGAGGCUGCAGUGAGGAAUAUUGGACAAUGGGCGCGAGCCUGAACCAGCCAAGUCGCGUGAGGGAAGACGGUCCUAUGGAUUGUAAACCUCUUUUGUCGGGGAGCAAAAGACGCCACGCGUGGCGUUCCGAGAGUACCCGAAGAAAAAGCAUCGGCUAACUCGGUGCCAGCAGCCGCGGUAAUACGGAGGAUGCGAGGGUUAUCGGGAUUUAUUAGGUUAAACGGGGGCGCAGUGGGAAGAUAAAGUCAGCGUGAAAAGUUAGAGGCUCAACCUCGUCGAGCUGUUGAAACUGGUUGUCUUGAGUGAGUGAGAAGCAGGCGGAAUGCGUGGUGUAGCGGUGAAAUGCAUAGAUAUCACGAAGAACUCCGAUGGCGAAGGCAGCAUACCGGCGUUCAACUGACGUUGAUGCACGAAAGUGUGGGUAGCGAACAGGAUUAGAUACCCGGGUAGUC